UGGCCAGAGGUAGCAAAUGCACUAACUCCCA
This 31-nucleotide non-coding RNA is filed under the name Homo sapiens (human). The record is from RNAcentral. Lineage: Eukaryota; Metazoa; Chordata; Mammalia; Primates; Hominidae.